GCACAUGCAAAACGCGUGGAAUGAAACAAAGGGGUUAAGACCAAUGCAUACACCUUCCUCUCUCCCUUAUCUCUCAGUCCUCUAUUCCAAUACUCUCUCCACCGUGUCGGAAGUUGCCUUUGGAGGCGGAGGUGCUUCUAAUUCCCAAUAAAGAAUAACACAUAAAUCUAAAUCAGACGCUGAAUAUGAAACUACUAAUGGAUUAAACUAAUU
Molecule: long non-coding RNA, 213 nt
Filed under: Lathyrus oleraceus (garden pea)
Lineage: Eukaryota; Viridiplantae; Streptophyta; Magnoliopsida; Fabales; Fabaceae
Description: Pisum sativum (pea) long non-coding RNA (PSAT_LNC035059)
Source: RNAcentral